CGAACGCUGGCGGCGUGCUUAACACAUGCAAGUCGAACGGAAAGGCCCUGCUUUUGUGGGGUGCUCGAGUGGCGAACGGGCGAGUAACACGUGAGUAACCUGCCCUUGACUUUGGGAUAACUUCAGGAAACUGGGGCUAAUACCGGAUAGGAGCUCCUGCUGCAUGGUGGGGGUUGGAAAGUUUCGGCGGUUGGGGAUGGACUCGCGGCUUAUCAGCUUGUUGGUGGGGUAGUGGCUUACCAAGGCUUUGACGGGUAGCCGGCCUGAGAGGGUGACCGGCCACAUUGGGACUGAGAUACGGCCCAGACUCCUACGGGAGGCAGCAGUGGGGAAUAUUGCACAAUGGGCGGAAGCCUGAUGCAGCAACGCCGCGUGCGGGAUGGCGGCCUUCGGGUUGUAAACCGCUUUCGCCUGUGACGAAGCGUGAGUGACGGUAAUGGGUAAAGAAGCACCGGCUAACUACGUG
This 466-nucleotide ribosomal RNA is filed under the name uncultured bacterium. RNAcentral's name for it is "partial 16S ribosomal RNA". It matches the Rfam family "Bacterial small subunit ribosomal RNA", at positions 30 to 507 of the family's 1533-position model. The record is from RNAcentral.